GUGGGCUACGGGGACAUGGUGCCGGUCACUAUAGGAGGCAAGAUCGUAGGUUCUCUGUGUGCCAUCGCUGGAGUGUUGACAAUCGCCCUCCCGGUGCCCGUCAUCGUGUCCAAC
Molecule: non-coding RNA, 114 nt
Organism: Takifugu rubripes (torafugu)
Lineage: Eukaryota; Metazoa; Chordata; Actinopteri; Tetraodontiformes; Tetraodontidae
Source: Rfam